This 329-nucleotide ribosomal RNA is filed under the name uncultured eukaryote. RNAcentral's name for it is "partial 18S ribosomal RNA". It matches the Rfam family "Eukaryotic small subunit ribosomal RNA", at positions 1470 to 1796 of the family's 1831-position model. The record is from RNAcentral.
CCCUUAGAUGUUCUGGGCCGCACGCGCGCUACAAUGAUGAAUUCAACGAGUUUAUAACCUUGGUUGAAAAGCCUGGGUAAUCUUUUGAACUUUCGUCGUGAUGGGGCUAGACCCUUGCAAUUAUUGGUCUCCAACGAGGAAUUCCUAGUAAACGCAAGUCAUCAGCUUGCAUUGAUUACGUCCCUGCCCUUUGUACACACCGCCCGUCGCACCUACCGAUUGAAUGGUCCGGUGAAAUCUUCGAAUUGAGACUUUGAUUUGUUUACUCAAAACGCUGUUUCAAGAAGUUGAUUAAACCUUACCAUUUAGAGGAAGGUGAAGUCGUAACA